AUACGUAGGUGGCAAGCGUUGUCCGGAAUUAUUGGGCGUAAAGCGCGCGCAGGCGGUUCUGUAAGUCUGAUGUGAAAGCCCACGGCUCAACCGUGGAGGGUCAUUGGAAACUGGGGGACUUGAGUGCAGAAGAAGAAAGCGGAAUUCCACGUGUAGCGGUGAAAUGCGUAGAGAUGUGGAGGAACACCAGUGGCGAAGGCGGCUUUCUGGUCUGUAACUGACGCUGAGGCGCGAAAGCGUGGGGAGCAAUCAGGAUUAGAUACCCUGGUAGUCCACGCCGUAAACGAUGAGUGCUAAGUGUUAGAGGGUUUCCGCCCUUUAGUGCUGCAGCUAACGCAUUAAUCACUCCGCCUGGGGAGUACGGCCGCAAGGCUGAA
RNAcentral lists this ribosomal RNA (377 nucleotides) under uncultured bacterium. RNAcentral's name for it is "bacterial SSU rRNA". It matches the Rfam family "Bacterial small subunit ribosomal RNA", at positions 523 to 898 of the family's 1533-position model. The record is from RNAcentral.